AUGCGGGAGCUGGGGGAGGGCGCGCGAGGAGCGAGCCAGGAGGACCCCGAGACUUUAAGCCCACCGAGGGAGGUUAGAAGAGGGCGCAGCGGUGGUGGUAUUAGGAGACCUCCGGCGGGAAGAGAGCCGGCCGAGGUUCGCGCCUCUCACUGGCCGGGGCGCUCCAAAGGCGCCGGAUGCCUGUGCGGGAAAGGCGGGUUCGAACCCUACUCAUCACCUGGAGCGUCCGGGAGAUCGAACGCGCGGAGAGGAUGUGGGGCCGCCGCUGCCUCCGCGCGGGGUUCCGGGGAGCUUGGAAACAGCUUGCUCCGCCAGCGCCGGCAGCGCGCGCGAUGACCCCUCAAAGGCACGGCUCACCGGGGCGGCCCCCUCCCUCGUCCUCUUAACUCCACUUCCAGCUUGGGCUAGAAACAGACAUUCGCGAGACGAGAGCAGGCGCUCACCAAGGUUCGGUGGAAACUGGGACAGGAAAGCCCGUGCUGCUCGGGAGGGCGCCGCAAUGCGCGCGGGACGCAGGGCUCUGCAGCGCCGGGCGGCGCGGGCCUGCACCGGGCACCGCAGUGGUCCUGGCUCCGCGGACUGGAGUCGGUUCUCCUUCCAGCGCCAGGCGGGCAAGAGAGCCUUUUGGUGAGGACAGGCCGGGCCUCUGGCCCCAGGCUGUAAAAGGGGCUAAUGCCGGCUGACUGGCUGGCUGCACAGGCCUAUUCUGACACCGAGAAUGGUCAGACAAGGAAGGACGCGCCUCUGAAGAGAGUUUUCACCUAGGUGUGCCGUGGGACUUUGGAAAGCAAGCCUGCGGUGGCGGCGAUGCGUUCGAUUCCCGCACCUUCGCACUGUUCUGUUUUUCCGGCUUACCACCAGGAAGAGCAGUAUCCUGCCUGCCUAGAAGUGACCGAACUAAGGGCCUUCUCCCUGCCCACCGCCGAGAGUAGGGGGCUCAUCGGUCAGCUGAGGGCACAUACAUUGGCUCCAGUGUCCUAUUUGACAGCUGGAAGGGGUCUCAGCGACCUUGUAGUUAUCCAACCCUGCAGCUGUGCGGAUGAAGAAAUGACAUUCCGAGGAGUCCCGUGAUCUCCCAAGGUUGACUCGGCUGUAUGCCCAGCCUCUGGAAUAACGCCUAGCGUGGGGCGAGCCAUCAGUCAAUGUGUGAUCAAUGAAUGAUACCCAGCCAGGUGGUCGAAGACUCAGGACUCGAUCCGAGGUCCGACUCCCAAUGCACCCCCUUUAACAGAAGAGUAACCAUGUGCCGGGUCGUUUCCCGCCCAAUCCCACGCGUGUUCCAAGACCAGGCCACAGCAUCCCCAAACCCAUAUGCACCCCUGUCCACAGAUUCCAACGAACCGAACGCUUCGCUCUUCCUUACUGAUCUCUAAGAGUCCAUGAUCUCCAGCCCCCAUCCGCACCCCCACCUCGGUUUUCAUUCCGCAGUUCUGCGGACUGUGGGGCUUCCCUGGUGGCUCAGAUGGUAAAGAAUCUGCCUGCAAGGCAGGAGACCCGGUUCGAUCCCUGGGUCAGGCAGAUUCCCUAUGCUGUGGGCAGCAUC
This is a long non-coding RNA of Bos taurus (domestic cattle), 1543 nucleotides long. Lineage: Eukaryota; Metazoa; Chordata; Mammalia; Artiodactyla; Bovidae. The record is from Ensembl.